This 456-nucleotide ribosomal RNA is filed under the name uncultured bacterium. RNAcentral's name for it is "bacterial SSU rRNA". It matches the Rfam family "Bacterial small subunit ribosomal RNA", at positions 29 to 530 of the family's 1533-position model. The record is from RNAcentral.
AACGAACGCUGGCGGCAUGCCUAACACAUGCAAGUCGAACGAGACCUUCGGGUCUAGUGGCGCACGGGUGCGUAACGCGUGGGAACCUGCCUUUAGGUUCGGAAUAACUCAGAGAAAUUUGAGCUAAUACCGGAUAAUGUCUUCGGACCAAAGAUUUAUCGCCUUUAGAUGGGCCCGCGUUGGAUUAGCUAGUUGGUGGGGUAAAGGCCUACCAAGGCGACGAUCCAUAGCUGGUCUGAGAGGAUGAUCAGCCACACUGGGACUGAGACACGGCCCAGACUCCUACGGGAGGCAGCAGUGGGAAUAUUGGACAAUGGGCGAAAGCCUGAUCCAGCAAUGCCGCGUGAGUGAUGAAGGCCUUAGGGUUGUAAAGCUCUUUUACCCGAGAUGAUAAUGACAGUAUCGGGAGAAUAAGCUCCGGCUAACUCCGUGCCAGUAGACCGCGGUAAAGUGACU